RNAcentral lists this ribosomal RNA (490 nucleotides) under Gemella haemolysans. RNAcentral's name for it is "bacterial SSU rRNA". It matches the Rfam family "Bacterial small subunit ribosomal RNA", at positions 28 to 497 of the family's 1533-position model. Lineage: Bacteria; Bacillati; Bacillota; Bacilli; Caryophanales; Gemellaceae. The record is from RNAcentral.
GACGAACGCUGGCGGCGUGCCUAAUACAUGCAAGUCGAGCGAAGUUUUUCUGGUGCUUGCACUAGAAAAACUUAGCGGCGAACGGGUGAGUAACACGUAAAGAACCUGCCUCAUAGACUGGGACAACUAUUGGAAACGAUAGCUAAUACCGGAUAACAGCAUUAACUGCAUGGUUGAUGUUUAAAAGUUGGUUUUGCUAACACUAUGAGAUGGCUUUGCGGUGCAUUAGCUAGUUGGUGGGGGUAAAGGCCUACCAAGGCGACGAUGCAUAGCCGACCUGAGAGGGUGAUCGGCCACACUGGGACUGAGACACGGCCCAGACUCCUACGGGAGGCAGCAGUAGGGAAUCUUCCGCAAUGGGCGAAAGCCUGACGGAGCAACGCCGCGUGAGUGAAGAAGGAUUUCGGUUCGUAAAGCUCUGUUGUUAGGGAAGAAUGAUUGUGUAGUAACUAUACACAGUAGAGACGGUACCUAACCAGAAAGCCACGGC